UAGGGAAUAUUGGUCAAUGGACGCAAGUCUGAACCAGCCAUGCCGCGUGCAGGAAGACGGCCCUAUGGGUUGUAAACUGCUUUUAUAUGGGAAGAAACCCCCUGAUGCGUUAGGGGCUGACGGUACCAUAUGAAUAAGGAUCGGCUAACUUCGUGCCAGCAGCCGCGGUAAGACGAAGGAUCCAAGCGUUGUCCGGAUUUACUGGGUUUAAAGGGUGCGUAGGCGGGAGAUUAAGUCAGUGGUGAAAGCCCUCAGCUCAACUGAGGAACUGCCAUUGAAACUGAUUUUCUUGAAUAUGGUUGAGGUAGAUGGAAUAUAACAUGUAGCGGUGAAAUGCUUAGAUAUGUUAUAGAACACCGAUUGCGAAGGCAGUCUGCUAAGCCAUUAUUGACGCUGAGGC
Molecule: ribosomal RNA, 400 nt
Filed under: uncultured bacterium
Lineage: Bacteria
Description: bacterial SSU rRNA
Rfam family: Bacterial small subunit ribosomal RNA
Source: RNAcentral